RNAcentral lists this long non-coding RNA (748 nucleotides) under Physcomitrium patens. Its description in RNAcentral is "long non-coding RNA (PPAT_LNC008820)". The record is from RNAcentral. Lineage: Eukaryota; Viridiplantae; Streptophyta; Bryopsida; Funariales; Funariaceae.
UUAGGAUUUGGAUUAGGGUUUGAUUUAGGGUUAAGGAUUUGGUUUAGGUUUUGAUUGAAGUUUAUUUAGGGUUUAGAGUUUGAUUAGGAUUUGGUUUAGGAUUUAGGAUUUGGAUUAGGAUUUGGUUAGGAUUUGAUUUAGAGUUUAAGAUUUACUUAGGGUUUGAUUUAGGAUUUAGGAUUUGGUUAGGGUUUGAUUGAAGUUUAUUUAGGAUUUAGAGUUUGAUUAGGAUUUGAUUUAGGAUUUAGGGUUUGGAUUAGGAUUUGGUUAGGAUUUGAUUUAGGGUUUAAGAUUUAGUUAGGAUUUGGUUUAGGAUUUAGGAUUUGGUUAGGAUUUGAUUUAAGGUUUAGGAUUUGGAUUAGGAUUUGGUUAGGGUUUCAUUCAAGAUUUAGAGUUUGGUUUAGAGUUUGGUUAGGAUUUGGUUUAUGAUUUGAUUGGGGUUUGGUUUAAGGUAGGAUUUAAGAUUCAAUUAGUUUUGGCCUAAAUUUUGAAUGAAGUUCAAUAGGAUUUUAAUUAGAAUUAAAUUAAGAUUGAAUUGAGAUGUAUUUAAGUGAUAUUUGUGAUCAUUCUAAUAUUUCUUUAAGAAUUUUUAUUAUUUGUUUGAAAUUUUUUUGAGGUUUUUUUGAAUUUGAUUAAUCUUGCUUAGCAUUAUUAUAGUCUAAUUAGAGCAUUGUUAGUAUUCUAUUAGAAUUAGGAUUUUGUUAUUGCAAUUUCCAUUCUUCCUUCCACAACCAGGUGUCCAAAGCAU